This 253-nucleotide ribosomal RNA is filed under the name uncultured bacterium. RNAcentral's name for it is "partial 16S ribosomal RNA". It matches the Rfam family "Bacterial small subunit ribosomal RNA", at positions 524 to 776 of the family's 1533-position model. The record is from RNAcentral.
UACGUAGGGGGCAAGCGUUGUCCGGAUUUAUUGGGCGUAAAGCGCUCGCAGGUGGUUCGUCGCGUCGUGCGUGAAAGACCCCGGCUCAACUGGGGAGGGUCGUGCGAUACGGGCGGACUGGAGGCCAGUAGGGGGAUGCGGAAUUCCGGGUGUAGCGGUGAAAUGCGCAGAUAUCAGGAGGAACACCGGUGGCGAAGGCGGAUCUCUGGGCCAUUACUGACGCUGAGGAGCGAAAGCGUGAGGAGCGAACAGG